RNAcentral lists this ribosomal RNA (370 nucleotides) under uncultured bacterium. Its description in RNAcentral is "bacterial SSU rRNA". It matches the Rfam family "Bacterial small subunit ribosomal RNA", at positions 560 to 930 of the family's 1533-position model. The record is from RNAcentral.
GCCGCGUCGACGUAGGCGGACUUUUAAGUGAGAUGUGAAAUACCCGGGCUCAACUUGGGUGCUGCAUUUCAAACUGGAAGUCUAGAGUGCAGGAGAGGAGAAUGGAAUUCCUAGUGUAGCGGUGAAAUGCGUAGAGAUUAGGAAGAACACCAGUGGCGAAGGCGAUUCUCUGGACUGUAACUGACGCUGAGGCUCGAAAGCGUGGGGAGCAAACAGGAUUAGAUACCCUGGUCGUCCACGCCGUAAACGAUGAAUACUAGGUGUAGGGGUUGUCAUGACCUCUGUGCCGCCGCUAACGCAUUAAGUAUUCCGCCUGGGGAGUACGGUCGCAAGAUUAAAACUCAAAGGAAUUGACGGGGUCCGCACAAGC